CCUACGGGGGGCAGCAGUAGGGAAUUUUCGUCAAUGGGCGCAAGCCUGAACGAGCAAUGCCGCGUGAACGAGGAAGGUCUUCGGAUCGUAAAGUUCUGUUGAAGGGGAAAAAGAGCGGAGAGAGGAAAUGAACUCCGAUUGAUAUUACCCUUCGAGGAAGUCACGGCGAACUACGUGCCAGCAGCCGCGGUAAAACGUAGGUGGCGAGCGUUAUCCGGAAUGAUUGGGCGUAAAGGGUGCGUAGGCGGCCUGCUAAGUCUGGAGUGAAAGGUACCGGCUCAACCGGUACAGGUUCUGGAAACUGGCGGGCUAGAGAGCAGGAGAGGGCGGUGGAACUCCAUGUGUAGCGGUAAAAUGCGUAGAUAUAUGGAAGAACACCAGUGGCGAAGGCGGCCGCCUGGCCUGUUGACUGACGCUGAGGCACGAAAGCGUGGGGAGCAAAUAGGAUUAGAUACCCCAGUAGUC
RNAcentral lists this ribosomal RNA (465 nucleotides) under uncultured bacterium. Its description in RNAcentral is "partial 16S ribosomal RNA". It matches the Rfam family "Bacterial small subunit ribosomal RNA", at positions 338 to 795 of the family's 1533-position model. The record is from RNAcentral.